Molecule: long non-coding RNA, 3800 nt
Filed under: Sus scrofa (pig)
Lineage: Eukaryota; Metazoa; Chordata; Mammalia; Artiodactyla; Suidae
Description: lncRNA (ENSSSCG00000062914.1)
Source: RNAcentral
CAUAUUUUUCUGUUUCUGAAACUUGAAAAAUAACCAUCUGGAAAGAAUCAUAUUAUAGACAAGGCAUGUCAUGACAUUUACAGCAAAUAUUUUUGCUGUGAGGAUCAGUAUUCUCUCAUUGCCCCAUCAACUGCCAUAUAAUCAGAUACCCAUAAAGUAUUCAAUAAAUAGAGGGUUCCUGCAUUAAAUCAAUAUUGCAGGAAUAAUAUAUUUUAAGGGUUCACAUUUUCCCUUGUUUAUCCUUCUUUUUAAACACACAUUUUUGCGUCACAAACCUCCUGAACGUUUGUCUUUGUUUCUUUGCCUCUCAGCCACCCAGUCUCAAGCAAAUGACAUUAAAGUGCACCAUUGCAGGGAGAUCUCUGGCAUAAAUAAAUGUAUCAGGAGGUCAAGAGGUCAAGAGCAUAAAUGAGGCAAAGAUUUCAAAGAAAUCACCGACCAAAUGAUUUAUAAAUCAUGGAAAAUACUGCUCUGGCCAUAAAAGAGAAAUUAAAUUUAUACAUCAUGAGCUUCAGGAUGCUUUGGGUUCUGGUGGGUAACUGGGUUAGAAAUGGAAGAGCUUAUGUCAUCCUGUUGUUGGUAUGGAGCCUUGUUACAGCAGCAUUUACCCCAGGACUCUAAAUCAGAAGGACUGAGAUUAAACUCCCCCGCCCUUCUCUUGUGUCUCUAGAAACACUUGCUUUUACCUCUGACCCAGAAUGUCCACCAUCCCAGGAGUGGGGUAAGAAUCAAUUCACUGUUGAGCAGAAUGAUAAUACCUAUAAGUGAAUACAAGCCUCCCAUCUGUUGGUGAAAGGCUGAGAGUCCUACCUUUGUCUAUAGGAAAGCAGCAAAGAAUUACAGCAUCUGCCCUGAUUGGUCAGGGAAGCUGUGGAACUGAGGACUUCUGGAACAUAACAGCCAGACCAUGUAUAGGAGAGGGUAUAAUGAGCCAGUCCCUGUAAAAGAAUAAUAACACUUUAUGCUAUAAUAAUCUGUAAAGAGAAUCUGUCCAGAACUUUUACAGCUUCAAAAUAAUUCUUGCUACUUUUGGCUGUAUUUCCUUCAAAGAUAGGAUGUGUACUCACUCAUCUCUCUUCCUACGCUCCCCCCUCACUGCUCCAAUUUCUUUUUCUUCCGUAUUUGUGAAAAUAUCAGAAUGGAAACUACUUGAAAGUAUUUGUUUUAGCUCUAUAUGAAAUGUAACACCAUGAUCGCUAACAUAAAACUGAAGUAAUUUCAUGGGGAACUUGCCGAAAACACACUCAAUUGGGAAUGUCACUUCCGAGUUAAACAGAUGUGAAGCAGCAAAUGACACCAUGAACAGCCAUCAGACUUUGGAAUUGAUUGUUGUUCUUUAUGACCUAACCAAUGGAGACUUAAACUUGGGACUAGUUUUAAAGUUUUCCUGGAAACAAAUUUCACUAAUCCCACUCAAUGGAAACAAUAUGCUGGAUCCUAGCUUGAAAUACAGAUCUGCGUGAUGACAGAGAAAAACAAUACACUGUGUCAAGAUUCCUUUGCUCUCAUAAUCCAAGGUAGGAUUUUAGUGGAGCUCUAAGUUUCUUUCCUUCUCUGUUCCUUCCUUCCUUCCUCCCUGCCUUCCCUCUCUCCCCCUCUCUCUUCUUCUCUCUUUGCUCCUCUCUUUCUCUUUCUUUUUCUUCUCUUCUUUCCUUUCAGGUAUUUGGAGGAACAGAAUCUGUUUGGGGUUGGUAAAUUUUUGGCAAUGUUUUCAGUUUUUAAAUAUCCAAGACACUUUUGACUCGAACAUUUAUUAAGACACAUUUUCCCUUCUAAUCUCCUUUAUGUAGUUUUUCUUAACCUAGGUUGUAUGUUAAAGGAAAUUUAAUCCACAGCUUGCCAAUGCAUUUAUGUACAAGUAAUCAAAAUUAGAUUUUGAGCCACCUUGCUUAAUGAUAAAUCUUUCCAAUCCCCCUUUUCUUGAUAAUUGGCAAGUUGAGCCUGAUGUGUGGGAUCACAAAUCUAUAUUGUGUUUGGAAUUCAGUCUCCUAGGAGUUGGUUGGCACUGAUUUCUUUCUUUACUCAUUUUAGAAGGAUACUUUAUCUUCCUUAUCUUAGAAUCACUGUAAAUACUUCUCUGGAAGAUCUAUCCUUAGAAUUAUUGUUUUUUUCCUCAACGAGAUUUAGUAUAUCAAGUUGAAUAAGGUAAAAAAAAUAACAUAAGCUCUAUUUACCUUUUUAUGCCUUAGCUUUUUCACAUUAAGAAGAAACAAAUUGAAAAAUUGAGAUUUUGCAAAGAUCUGAACAUGAUACUUCACAUUUUUUUUCAAUGCUUUCCCCCAAUAUUCUCAUAGCAGUUGGCUUGAAUUAUAUCUUCAUUACUCAAUAAAGAACAAAAAAUGGUAUAAAUUCACCACUUAGCAAAAAUGUAUAAAGUAUAUAGUUGGAGAAAACCUAUUAAAUUUAGGAUUAGGCUAAUGAUUAGUUUAUUUGCAUUUUUCAGUGACUCUUUAGGAAUUUUGAAUGGUUUUCUGUUGAGCCAAGUUUGGGUGCCCUCUUAAUCUCUUUGUUACACCGUGGCUUGGUGUUCUCACACAUAGCCACAUAUGUCUGAGCUGGGCGUUCAUGUAGUGGGCUCUGUUAAGCCAAGAAAGAGAAGGGUGAAUCUCUGCUGCCACUGAAAUAAAUUGGUGAUUGUUACAUCUAAAAAUCUUUUUUUCAUAGAAUGAGCAACAUGUAUUGCCAUAUUUGCUUUUUCUGGUCCAUUGACUUUUGAUCACAUCUCAUGGCUUUUUAAGCACGUGAUGUUGGGUGUUUGUGCUGAUGAACAAAGCUGUAAUCUUGAAUAUGCAAAUUGAGGGCCUAGAUAACCCUGUAAACAGGCUGUCUGAUGAGGUCUGUCUGUUACUACAUGGCUGCUAUACAUUGUAUGACAGUGGGCGACAGGCAAGGUGACCGUAUGGUAGGAGUCUAAGUAGAGAGUAAGACAGCAAUUCAGAAACACUGGUCUGCAUAGGCAAAAACAUCCCCCCAACAACAACAAAAAAACAAAAACCCAACCAAAGACCCCAAAAUAAAAAACAUAAAAACUUACAGGCAUGGGAUUUCUUUAAUAAAUAAUAAUGAAUAAAUUAUCUGAUUUAAGUGAUAAUAGAUAAAAUUAUUUAGGGCCUGUUUUCGAGUAGGGAAAUUCUUUGUAUUUCGCGCAUGGACAGAGCACCAUGAUGGAAGAGUGCUUGACAUCUUUCCUUUGUUGAGUGAGUACUUGGUUCCUCCACUUGGCUCUGUCCGAAUGAGAAUCUUACUUAAUUGGUAGUGAAGGGGACUAGGAGCAUGAUCUCUGCAGUCAGAGUUCAGAUUCUGACGAAGCUACAGACUAAUGAUGAUCUUGGGCAAGCUUCCUGCCCUCUCCUUGCCUCCGUUUUCUUCUCUGUAAAAUGGAGAAGAUGGUAUUACCACCAUGUAGAGUCACUGUGUGUUUCAUGUGCAUGAAAAGCAGAAGAGUCUCUGCACAGGGUUAAUAAACCUUAGCUUCUGCUCCUCUUGUUGUUAUUCUUAGUGGUGGCUGAUAUUAUCAUUACUGCUGUUGAGCACACACCUUCUGUAUGGACAGUUGAAGGCAAACUGGGCUGGCCUAUACUCAACAUGACUCUAACUGGGCUGUAUGUGAGUUGUUGAAAGUGCAAAAAUGAACCAAGAGGCCCUGAGGCCUCCAAAGGCAACCCCAAAAAGUGUUUGGUUAUGUAUGGGGUAGUACUUGUGUAAGCAUGAUUAUUUUAUGGGUAAGAAAAAUGGAAAUGUGGAGUAAAAAUCUGAUAGCAAGGGAAGAACACUGGACUGUGAGUUGGAAAAUGUGCCAC